UUCUUGGAUUGAAAUCCAGACCCAGAGGCUUUGUCAAGGUUAAGGGUAAGAAGCUUCCCACUGUUGAGUAUCUUAGCCCUGCCAUCUCCCCAGGUGAUGUCAAAGUCUUGGUAGAAGUUCCCAGCAAAUGCAACCGUCAGAGAGCUAAUUGAAAGAGAGAUCAAUAAGAGUAUUGAAACUCUUGAAGAAGCCAUCGUAAUGAGAAAUGGGUGUGAGAAAAUAUAUGUUUUGGAUUGAAACACAAAUUGUUUU
RNAcentral lists this unclassified non-coding RNA (252 nucleotides) under Hevea brasiliensis (rubber tree). The record is from RNAcentral. Lineage: Eukaryota; Viridiplantae; Streptophyta; Magnoliopsida; Malpighiales; Euphorbiaceae.